Non-coding RNA from Lagenorhynchus albirostris (white-beaked dolphin), 1855 nucleotides. Lineage: Eukaryota; Metazoa; Chordata; Mammalia; Artiodactyla; Delphinidae. The record is from the annotation of a RefSeq genome assembly.
AUGUCCCCGCAGGACACCUCCGGGACCCCAGGGACCACCGGGAACACCCGGGUCGGCGUGGGGGUCCCCCUCGAGCAGGAGGAGGAGGCCGGCAUCUGGGCCUGGCCCCUGCAUCUUGUCCCGGCCGAGCUCCAGUCGCAGGGUCCCCGGGAGGAGGGCCUGUGCCAGAUGCUGGAGGGGGGCCGCCCGCCUCUCCCAGCAGGAGAGCUUCUGCAGGUGCCGCUAACGGUCCCUCAGGUCACCUCCACCGAGGACGCUGCUCAGAGCAAGGCCCGGGCCCGAGGCCGCUGCAGGAGCCCCAGCGCGGGAGGCGGUGAGGUCCAGCCAGACCGGCCUCCCGGGGAGCACGCUGUUGACCUGGUGCCCCGCGGGCUGAGCUGGAGGGGCUCCCGGAAAAGAGGGCAGAAGGCGCGGCCAGCCCAUCCUGCAGCCAAAGGCCUGAGGCACGUACAGCAGGAGCUCCGCCUGCACCGGGGUGGGGAUAUCAAGGCCACGGAUGGAGCCACGGAGAGGAGGAGGGAAGAGGUGGAAGACAGAGGUCUGGAAGGGAGGUCACCCCGGCAGGGCUGGAAACACAGGGGCGGCAGAGCUCGGUGGGGCCGCUUGGCCUUCGAGGACCGUGAUGGGCUGGGGGCCGGGAGCCUCAGGGCUUCGCUCGGCCAGACGCGCUGCAGGCAUAGGGCUGGGCUGGGGCUGAGGACGAGGCCAGGAUGGACAGCUUCCGCCACGGCCCCGGAAGUCUACGCUCUGUCUCCCAGCUGUGGGGACACACCUAGUGCCACAGUGGUCGUGGGCUGCCUGGUCUCGCGCUACAUCCCUGAGCCAGUGACCGUGACCUGGAACUCGGGCAUCCUACCCAGCAGCGUGCACACCUUCCCAUCCGUCCGAGGGUCCUCGGGGCUGUACUCUCUCAGCAGCACUGUGACCGUGCCUGCCAGCACCUCGUCCGGCAAGACCUUCACCUGCAACGUAGCCCACCCGGCCAGCAGCACCAAGGUGGACAAGCGCAUUGAAAUCAACGGCCCAAACCCCUGUUCCAGGUGUCCCAAAUGUCCACCCUGUCAGCUCCCAGGAGGACCGUCCGUCUUCAUCUUCCCCCCGAAACCCAGGGACAUCCUCACAAUGUCCCGAAAACCGGAAGUCUCCUGCAUGGUGGUGGAUGUGAGCAAGGAGGACACUGAUGUCCAGUUCUCCUGGUAUGUGGACGAUGUAGAGGUGCGCACGGCCAAGACGAAGCCAAGGGAGCAGCAGUUCAACAGCACCUACCGUGUGGUCAGCGCCCUGCCCAUCCAGCACCAGGACUGGCUGAAGGGAAAGGAGUUCAAGUGCAAGGUCAACAACAAAGGCCUCCCGGCCCCCAUCGUGAGGACCAUCUCCAAGGCCAAAGGGCAGCCCCGGGAGCCGCAGGUGUACGUACUGGGCCCAGCACAGGAAGAGCUGGCCAAGAGCUCGGUCAGCGUCAGCAUAACCUGCAUGGUCACCGACUUCUACCCGAGCGACAUCGACGUGGAGUGGCAGAGAAACGGGCAGCCGGAGCCAGAGGGCAACUAUGGCACGACCCCACCCCAGCUGGAGGCCGACGGGUCCUUCUUCCUGUACAGCAAGCUCAGGGUGGACAAGAAGAGCUGGCAGCGGGGAGACACCUACACGUGUGUAGUGUUGCACGAGGCCCUACGCAAUCACAACACGCAGAAGUCCAUCACCCAGUCUUCGGGUAAAUGAGCCCCACGGCGUUGUUGCCCCAGCGAGCCCUCCCUCCCCUUGGGCUCUCAGGGUCCAGCGAGGACGCCUGAGCCCCAGCCCUGUGUACAUGCCUCCCGGGCGCCAUGAAUAAAGCGCCCAGCGCCGCCCUGGG